Molecule: ribosomal RNA, 549 nt
Filed under: Clostridioides difficile
Lineage: Bacteria; Bacillati; Bacillota; Clostridia; Peptostreptococcales; Peptostreptococcaceae
Description: partial 23S ribosomal RNA
Rfam family: Bacterial large subunit ribosomal RNA
Source: RNAcentral
CAAACCGACACAGGUGGGUGAGGAGAGUAUCCUAAGGCCAGCGAGAGAACUGUUGUUAAGGAACUCGGCAAAAUGACCCCGUAACUUAGGGAUAAGGGGUGCCACCAUCAGGUGGCCGCAGAGAAUAGGCCCAAGCGACUGUUUACCAAAAACAUAGGUUUCUGCUAAGUCGCAAGACGAUGUAUAGGAGCUGACGCCUGCCCGGUGCUGGAAGGUUAAGGGGAUCUGUUAGAGCAAUCGAAGCAGUGAACUUAAGCCCCAGUAAACGGCGGCCGUAACUAUAACGGUCCUAAGGUAGCGAAAUUCCUUGUCGGGUAAGUUCCGACCCGCACGAAAGGCGUAACGAUUUGGGCACUGUCUCAACAACAGACUCGGUGAAAUUGUAAUUCCGGUGAAGAUGCCGGAUACCUGCGACAGGACGGAAAGACCCCAUGGAGCUUUACUGUAGCUUGACAUUGGGUCUUGGUACUACAUGUACAGGAUAGGUGGGAGGCUUUGAAACCAGGACGCCAGUUUUGGCGGAGCCAUCCUUGGGAUACCACCCUUGUA